GUGGGGAAUCUUGCGCAAUGGGCGAAAGCCUGACGCAGCCAUGCCGCGUGAAUGAUGAAGGUCUUAGGAUUGUAAAAUUCUUUCACCGGGGACGAUAAUGACGGUACCCGGAGAAGAAGCCCCGGCUAACUUCGUGCCAGCAGCCGCGGUAAUACGAAGGGGGCUAGCGUUGCUCGGAAUUACUGGGCGUAAAGGGCGCGUAGGCGGACAGUUAAGUUGGGGGUGAAAGCCCAGGGCUCAACCUUGGAAUUGCCUUUGAUACUGGCUGUCUUGAGUACGGGAGAGGUGAGUGGAACUCCGAGUGUAGAGGUGAAAUUCGUAGAUAUUCGGAAGAACACCAGUGGCGAAGGCGACUCACUGGCCCGUUACUGACGCUGAGGCGCGAAAGCGUGGGGAGCAAACAGGAUUAGAAACCCUAGUAGUCC
This 425-nucleotide ribosomal RNA is filed under the name uncultured bacterium. RNAcentral's name for it is "partial 16S ribosomal RNA". It matches the Rfam family "Bacterial small subunit ribosomal RNA", at positions 354 to 796 of the family's 1533-position model. The record is from RNAcentral.